Molecule: ribosomal RNA, 253 nt
Filed under: uncultured bacterium
Lineage: Bacteria
Description: partial 16S ribosomal RNA
Rfam family: Bacterial small subunit ribosomal RNA
Source: RNAcentral
UACGUAGGGGGCAAGCGUUGUCCGGAAUCAUUGGGCGUAAAGAGCGUGUAGGCGGACCGGUAAGUCGGCUGUGAAAGUCCAGGGCUCAACCCUGGGAUGCCGGUCGAUACUGCCGGACUAGAGUUCGGAAGAGGCGAGUGGAAUUCCCGGUGUAGCGGUGAAAUGCGCAGAUAUCGGGAGGAACACCUAUGGCGAAGGCAGCUCGCUGGGACGUUACUGACGCUGAGACGCGAAAGCGUGGGGAGCAAACAGG